Molecule: ribosomal RNA, 463 nt
Filed under: uncultured bacterium
Lineage: Bacteria
Description: partial 16S ribosomal RNA
Rfam family: Bacterial small subunit ribosomal RNA
Source: RNAcentral
GACGAACGCUGGCGGCGUGCUUAACACAUGCAAGUCGAACGGAAAGGCCUUUUCGGAGGUACUCGAGUGGCGAACGGGUGAGUAACACGUGGGUGAUCUGCCCUGCACUCUGGGAUAAGCCUGGGAAACUGGGUCUAAUACCGGAUAGGACCGCACUUUAGUGUGUGUGGUGGCAAGUGUUUUCGGUGUAGGAUGAGCCCGCGGCCUAUCAGCUUGUUGGUGGGGUGAUGGCCUACCAAGGCGGCGACGGGUAGCCGGACUGAGAGGUUGGUCGGCCACAUUGGGACUGAGAUGCGGCCCAGACUCCUACGGGAGGCAGCAGUGGGGAAUCUUGCACAAUGGGCGCAAGCCUGAUGCAGCGACGCCUCGUGGGGGAUGACGGCCUUCGGGUUGUAAACUCCUUUCGCCAGGGACGAAGCGUUUUGUGACGGUACCUGGAGAAGAAGCACCGGCUAACUACGUG